UUCAGCAAUUAGUCAGUUCUGCCAGCCAACCCAGUACACCUCAGUGUUUUCUUUCUUACUCCAAAGUUGCUACCGGAUUUGGAAUACAGCGAAGCAUGUAGCAUCCUGAAUAUAAUGAAUGGGCCUUGGAUAGAGCAGCCUUCGAAAGUUUGGAGCAGCGGUGACUGUUGGCAUUCAGUUACAGGCUUAGCUGGCACAAGUAGAUGCUGACAUCGAUCUCUCUACAAUAUUUAUUGCAUGGAUGCAACAACAUUUGGUAGUGUGAUGUGAAAAAUUGUCCUGCCUACAUGUCAGUUUUGUCUUGAAUAUGCCUCUUAAGUUUUGGUGCUGGGCAUUAGAGAGUUCUCUUAAUUUUCUUUUGUAGAAAAAACAAGGUCGCGUCUGGAUUUACGAGCACCAACAGUAUUGAACAUGUAAGUUAGUAAUGCCCCUGGUGCUGAUGGGAUGCUGUUGACAUUGCUGCUCAGUGACAAAUUGCCACGCUCUGUUCUUUGUAUAGAUUGCGUUUGAAUGACUUGGCAUUGUUAUGUUAACUAAUCUAAAUAGUAAAUGAUUUUGCGGUCGGACUUAUGUUGAUUAUUGCAUCAAAUUUAA
Molecule: long non-coding RNA, 594 nt
Organism: Rhodamnia argentea
Lineage: Eukaryota; Viridiplantae; Streptophyta; Magnoliopsida; Myrtales; Myrtaceae
Exons: 4
Source: RefSeq, a predicted model, not a curated record